CAAACUAGUUGAGAUCAACUAUAUUUGUUUGAGACCAAUUCCGCUUUAAUAUUAAAAAGUUAUAAAUCUUAUGAUACUACUCUCUCCAUGUCAUUUUAUGUCUCCACCUUGUCCUUCUCACUCUUUUCAACACUAAUUUAUCACAUUUAGAACAUGACCAAACUAUUUGAAUCGACAUUAUUUCAUUUUAUCCCAAAGUAUGCUACAUGCACUCUUUAGCAUGUGUGGUCAUUCCUAAUGUUAUCUAUUAUCGUAAUACCAGACAUUCAUCUUAACAUCAGCGUAUCUAUCACUCUCAUUUUGUUGAUGUGUUGUACCUUAGAUGCCCAAUAU
Molecule: unclassified non-coding RNA, 333 nt
Filed under: Hevea brasiliensis (rubber tree)
Lineage: Eukaryota; Viridiplantae; Streptophyta; Magnoliopsida; Malpighiales; Euphorbiaceae
Source: RNAcentral